RNAcentral lists this ribosomal RNA (429 nucleotides) under uncultured bacterium. RNAcentral describes it as "bacterial SSU rRNA". It matches the Rfam family "Bacterial small subunit ribosomal RNA", at positions 355 to 775 of the family's 1533-position model. The record is from RNAcentral.
UGGGGAAUUGUUCGCAAUGGGCGCAAGCCUGACGACGCAACGCCGCGUGGAGGAUGAAGACCUUCGGGUCGUAAACUCCUUUCGAUCGAGACGAAUGGACCUUGGGUUAACAGCCGAAGGUAAUGACGGUACCGAGAGAAGAAGCCCCGGCUAACUCCGUGCCAGCAGCCGCGGUAAUACGGGGGGGGCAAGCGUUGUUCGGAAUUACUGGGCGUAAAGGGCUCGUAGGUGGCCAACUAAGUCAGACGUGAAAUCCCUCGGCUUAACCGGGGAACUGCGUCUGAUACUGGAUGGCUUGAGUUCGGGAGAGGGAUGCGGAAUUCCAGGUGUAGCGGUGAAAUGCGUAGAUAUCUGGAGGAACACCGGUGGCGAAGGCGGCAUCCUGGACCGACACUGACACUGAGGAGCGAAAGCCAGGGGAGCAAACGG